GUGCCCAUGUUGGCAGCACGUACAUUGAACUAUAGAGAAGGUUAGCAUGGCGCCUGGGCAAGGAUGAGUGCAAAUUCGUGAAGGUUUCAUCUUAAAA
Small nuclear RNA from Panthera pardus (leopard), 97 nucleotides. The record is from Ensembl. NCBI's taxonomy places the organism in Eukaryota, Metazoa, Chordata, Mammalia, Carnivora, Felidae.